Non-coding RNA from Peromyscus maniculatus bairdii (prairie deer mouse), 1418 nucleotides. The record is from RefSeq and is a predicted model, not a curated record. NCBI's taxonomy places the organism in Eukaryota, Metazoa, Chordata, Mammalia, Rodentia, Cricetidae.
ACCCUAGCCCUGGGUAAAGUUCCCCAGGUGGUGCCUGUUGGACCAGGAUGAUAAAUACCCGAUUAGCAACCCCCUGGGGGAGGGUGUGUUUGAACGCAGGCUUUGGGGCAGGGGCUGAGAAGGGCCGGGACACCUGCGUUUCUAACAAGAUCCUGGUAUGGGGAGCAGAGCCAGGAGAGGGACUGCGGGAGGGGAGCCUCGCGCUUCCGUCUUGUUUAUCCUGCUAAAGGAAACGGCCCUCCGGGAGCAGCUCAGUGGGAGAGUGCUUGGCAAGCAUGAACUAAGUCCUGAUUCUGACCCCAACUCUGAAUCUCCCCCAGGUGGUUCUGGGACACUGGACAAUGGCUAUUAUGCUCUAAGCCUCCGUUUCUCCUGCAAAAUGGAGUUACUGUCAUGGCUACCUCAGGACUGGGGGGAGGACAGCACAAGACCAUGCAAGAGGGCCUCACAGUGGCCGACACCCCUCGGAGGGUGUGUGCUGGUUAUCCAUCAGAAACGUUGACAAUUUUGAUUUCAAACGGGCUGGAGAUUUUAAGUAACUGCCAUGUGUGUGCUGCUCUGUCUUGGAGUUCUUCUCAAAUCUGAACACCCGCUGAAACCACUCCAACGGCCUAAUCAAGAGCUACCCAGAACAGGGCUUGGCGCAGAGUUGCUGCUCAGAAGCCACUGGGAGCUAGCUGACUGACAGACACUCGCGGCUGUCGUGAGGAUUAAACACACACUGGAGUGUAUUCAAGCAACCACUCUGGAGUUCACGGUAAAGCUAAACACUCACUGCUGUGACGGCAGUGUUCCUCCUGGGUAGACACACAGGAGAAACGACCGCACACAUCUGAAGGAGGUCGGGCACACGAACGCAUGCAGCGGCCUGGUGACGGCAGCCAAGACCAUCAAGAAGAGACCAGACAUGCACCGAUGUGCCCUCUUCCAUUCGAACAUCGAAAAGCCACUCAUCAAGAAGAGCUUCUGUGCUGAUCCGCCCAGGUUGGAUGACGCUCGUGGGCAGUACGUCGAUCAAAGGUAGCCGCUCUCAGAAAGAGAGGACACGCUGCGUGAGUCUAUUGAGAUGAAAUUCAGAAUAAAGUGAACCAGUGGAUUCCAGAAUUUUUCAUGUCAGAGAAGAAAAUGUGUUCUGACCUCAUGGUUGCCAGAGGACACAGUGUGUGUGGCUUUCUCGUGAUUCUCCCACUCGGGUAUUGGUGGAUCCCUUCCUGGAAUAUAGACUGAGCACCGGACUUAAUGCAGGCAGGACCAGUGUCUACAAAGCAUUUACUCCUUUACUGGGCUAUGAAGGUUUGAGGAAGAUAUUUGACUCGCUAAAUCAGGGGUUCUCAGCCUUCCUAAGGCUGCAACUCUUUAAUACAGCUCCUCAUGUUGUGGUAACCCCCAAGCAUAAAAUUGUUUUUAUUGCUAUUUCA